UCGGACGUGGUGCACGGUACACGCCCGCUAUCUCUGGCGGGAGAUGAUCAUUGACAUGGAUGUGAUUCGGGAGCUCUGGGUUCGAUUCCCAGCGUCCGAA
Molecule: non-coding RNA, 100 nt
Organism: Mycena latifolia
Lineage: Eukaryota; Fungi; Basidiomycota; Agaricomycetes; Agaricales; Mycenaceae
Source: the annotation of a GenBank genome assembly